RNAcentral lists this ribosomal RNA (400 nucleotides) under uncultured bacterium. RNAcentral describes it as "bacterial SSU rRNA". It matches the Rfam family "Bacterial small subunit ribosomal RNA", at positions 356 to 773 of the family's 1533-position model. The record is from RNAcentral.
GGGGAAUAUUGGACAAUGGGCGCAAGCCUGAUCCAGCCAUGCCGCGUGAGUGAUGAAGGCCUUAGGGUUGUAAAGCUCUUUCAGUGGGGAAGAUAAUGACGGUACCCACAGAAGAAGCCCCGGCUAACUUCGUGCCAGCAGCCGCGGUAAUACGAAGGGGGCUAGCGUUGUUCGGAUUUACUGGGCGUAAAGCGCACGUAGGCGGAUUGGUCAGUUAGGGGUGAAAUCCCAGAGCUCAACUCUGGAACUGCCCUUAAUACUGCCAGUCUAGAGUCCUGAAGAGGUAAGUGGAACUCCUAGUGUAGAGGUGGAAUUCGUAGAUAUUAGGAAGAACACCAGUGGCGAAGGCGGCUUACUGGUCCGGGACUGACGCUGAGGUGCGAAAGCGUGGGGAGCAAAC